This 552-nucleotide ribosomal RNA is filed under the name Pseudoxanthomonas japonensis. RNAcentral's name for it is "bacterial SSU rRNA". It matches the Rfam family "Bacterial small subunit ribosomal RNA", at positions 366 to 909 of the family's 1533-position model. Lineage: Bacteria; Pseudomonadati; Pseudomonadota; Gammaproteobacteria; Lysobacterales; Lysobacteraceae. The record is from RNAcentral.
GGACAAUGGGCGCAAGCCUGAUCCAGCCAUACCGCGUGGGUGAAGAAGGCCUUCGGGUUGUAAAGCCCUUUUGUUGGGAAAGAAAUCCUGUCGGUUAAUAACCGGUGGGGAUGACGGUACCCAAAGAAUAAGCACCGGCUAACUUCGUGCCAGCAGCCGCGGUAAUACGAAGGGUGCAAGCGUUACUCGGAAUUACUGGGCGUAAAGCGUGCGUAGGUGGUGGUUUAAGUCUGCUGUGAAAGCCCUGGGCUCAACCUGGGAAUUGCAGUGGAUACUGGGUCACUAGAGUGUGGUAGAGGGAUGCGGAAUUUCCGGUGUAGCAGUGAAAUGCGUAGAGAUCGGAAGGAACAUCCGUGGCGAAGGCGGCAUCCUGGGCCAACACUGACACUGAGGCACGAAAGCGUGGGGAGCAAACAGGAUUAGAUACCCUGGUAGUCCACGCCCUAAACGAUGCGAACUGGAUGUUGGGUGCAACUUGGCACCCAGUAUCGAAGCUAACGCGUUAAGUUCGCCGCCUGGGGAGUACGGUCGCAAGACUGAAACUCAAAGGAA